GCGGGAGUGGCGGAAUUGGCAGACGCACCAGACUUAGGAUCUGGCGCCUUACGGCGUGGGGGUUCAAGUCCCUUCUCCCGCACCA
This 85-nucleotide transfer RNA is filed under the name Escherichia coli. Its description in RNAcentral is "tRNA-Leu". It matches the Rfam family "tRNA". From Rfam's summary of the family: Transfer RNA (tRNA) molecules are approximately 80 nucleotides in length. Their secondary structure includes four short double-helical elements and three loops (D, anti-codon, and T loops). The record is from RNAcentral. RNAcentral also lists the same sequence under 49 other names. Lineage: Bacteria; Pseudomonadati; Pseudomonadota; Gammaproteobacteria; Enterobacterales; Enterobacteriaceae.